CACACGACCACAAACGCACACAGGGGGAUUCACAAAUCAGGGAUCAUCAAACCACAAUGGGAAAACACAGGGACAUACACAAACAGAGUCCCUGAACAGAAAACAUUCAUACGAAUCUGCCAUGCACCAAAUACACACGGACACAAAUGGAAAAAGUGACUCUAGAGUACAACGAAGCUCAGAAGUACACAGAGAACCGACUGACUAAUGAUCUCAAGAAAAUAGCUCUUCGUCAACUCUGCCAGAUUAAAACCCAAAGACCAUGUGAAAGGAGGGCAGAGAGAAAUGAGAACGACCAAUGAGGAACUGAGAGUGAAAACAAAAGC
Molecule: long non-coding RNA, 326 nt
Organism: Labeo rohita (rohu)
Lineage: Eukaryota; Metazoa; Chordata; Actinopteri; Cypriniformes; Cyprinidae
Exons: 3
Source: RefSeq, a predicted model, not a curated record